Molecule: long non-coding RNA, 367 nt
Organism: Clarias gariepinus (North African catfish)
Lineage: Eukaryota; Metazoa; Chordata; Actinopteri; Siluriformes; Clariidae
Exons: 3
Source: RefSeq, a predicted model, not a curated record
AGUUUACAUUUACCUCAGAAGAAGACUGUGUGGCUCUGACGACGAACGGGAGCAUUUUGAAGAGAGAAUAGAUCCAACGGAGGACACACUGGAUUGAAAGGGCUCUGGGGUGUUUUGCCAGGCAGAAGCGUGGAGAGCAGCCCGCCUUGCCACCUCUGCUACUGCCAUGGUGCGAAAUCUGCUGCUGGGCACCUUCGACUUGGAGACUUUGCUGCAACCUGAAUGGUGAAAAGCCAACCAGAGGGGAUGGGGAGCAGCUGGUCGCGUUUAUUAGGCAUUGGAGACUGCAUAAGGUAGGGCACCCAUUAUUGUUACUGUAUCUGCUUGGGACCUAUACACUAAUUCAUCGCUUGCUCACUUCUUAAUC